Long non-coding RNA from Helianthus annuus (common sunflower), 3314 nucleotides. RefSeq lists it as uncharacterized. NCBI's taxonomy places the organism in Eukaryota, Viridiplantae, Streptophyta, Magnoliopsida, Asterales, Asteraceae. The record is from RefSeq and is a predicted model, not a curated record. The transcript has 4 exons.
AGUUUUUUCCCGCCUUUUUUUUAGGUCCAUCUCUUAAUAUCGGUUGACCCGACCCGGUAUUAAAUACAUUUCCUAAAUUUGAUUACCAUCUAAUAAUAGCCUAAAUCAAUACCAUAACCUCUAUUGCAUCUCACAUCUCUCCUCUCAAUCAUUGUUCCAAACACUCUUAAGAACCUAAAUGAAAAUCAUCAUCAACAAUCGUCUUGAUUGACAGUUAUUGUGGAUUUGGAAGAACGAUACACAAAAUCCCUUACAUCAAAGGUUUUGUUAUCAAGAAAAAAUAUGGCCAUGAUGCCACCAAUGUUGGUGAUGAAGUCGUUGAGUAUGCAGCCGUGGAAGAUUUAUUCUCUUUGUUUGAAGAUGAAAUAUUCCAUAUCUUGGCUGGCCAUCCAAGAUUGUGAUUGUUGCUGUAUGAAUGGUUUAAAAUUUGAGCAAAGAUGAGAAUUUUGUGUGUCCUGGCGGGGUACUCGAGAUGGUCAUAUGAUUUGACUUUGCUUUCACGUGGCAACCAGUUAGUGUGUAGGAAUGGCACAUCCAUACUCUUUCUUUAAAUAUUUACAUAUAUGAUCCUCAUUAUUCUUUCAUCGUGUUUUCUAAUCAUUCAUCGUCUACAUAAUAUUACCCAUUUUGAUUGAUUGCAGAUCAAUGGUGGAUACUUGGGUAAUUUCUCCUCCUUUUUUACCCACUGUAAAUUUUGUUGCAUGUAUUCAAUAAUUGUUGUGUUCUAAUUGAAGGUUACACCAGUUCUUUUUGAUUCAGUUGUUGGAGGGCUGACGAUGUUUGAGACUACUUAUGUCAUUUUCUCGGGUGCCUUUUUCAUGUUAUGCAUAUAGACUAAUAAUACAGUUAGUAAUUAUAUAUCUUUUUAAUAUUAACGAUGCUUUGGUUCGUUCUUACAAGAUCCAGAGAAGACCAAACUACAGCUUCUACAAAAAGCACAUAUGUCGUUCACCUGGUAUGGUAUGAUAAGCCUUUAGUUAAGUUUCAUAUAAUAUGUUUUUCACAGUUUGUCUUAAACUUUAAUAUACUUUGUUUGUAAAUGCAUGGUGGUUAUUUAGAAAGAUAAAUUCCAGUGAUGUUAUUAAAUAUGCGUCUAAUGUAAGCACCGCAAGGAGGGGAAGUUGACUCUGGCCACCCUCCAAUUUAGUAGCAUUAGUUUUCAAAGAGAAAUUAUGAGAAAUAACACGUCAACUAAAAACGAAAUAAAACCAAUAGACGCUCAUGUGUGAAUAAAGAUGUUGUGCCAAUUGUAUGUGUCAUCCAUGCAAAUUGGGUGACGCCAUCACUAGAAGAGAGCAUGUUGCUACUUAUUUACUUAAUGUACACUAGGUACCUUUGAUCUCCAAUCUUAUAUAGGUGUAAAAAUGACCGGGUCAGGUUAAGUUUAGUUUUAUUUAAACGUAAUAAGAAUUUGAAUUUUUUAAUCUAUUAUCUAUAUGUAUAAAUGAAAUGGGGUUUGGGACACGUGUCCCUAAAUGGUGGUUUAUACAUGAUAAUACAUGUUCAAUAUAUUCAAGAAUAUUGUACAUAAUUUUCAGUGUGUUUUAAGAAGUUUGACACUUGAAGAUUCGGUUAUCCAUCGAUGUGUGUCAUCAAAUGUGGCAAGUUUAUGUUUAUGCAAUUAAGGUGUUUGAUAAAAGGCUUAUAUGGGUUUUACCAGAUAAAUUCAUCAUUUCGGAUUUAAAUUAGCAUCAUUAGUAUAAAAUUCAUUCUCCUUCUAAGUCGGCAAUUUCAAGUGGUUCAGAAAUUACAAGUGGUUUGGCGGCGAGUACAUGAGGUUCGGCGAUCGGCGCUAAUUGUUCAGUUCUCAGUCGGAGAUUACAGGUGGUUUAGGUAGCAUGAUUGCUCUAAUUUAUUUUCUUUUUUCCAGAUUGAUGUUGUAGCUAAGAGCUGUGAUGGAAGGCUUCACAUUGCCAACAACGAUGAACGAGAAGAAAGUUUGAUUCAACUACUUAUGGUAUUAUGUUACAGGUCACUUCUUUUGUAUUUGAUGGUUUCAAGUGAUGCUAUUAAAUGUUUACAAAAUAUUGAGGGUUGAGUCUUGGAACAAUCAGCACAUGGUCACUUUUUUAUGGCCGCAUGUUCGAGCCAUGGUUCAUCCUAAAAGUUUAGAACAUUCUAAUCUAACAUCGCUACUAGAGUUCUUCACCGAACUCCAAAAGGAGGUUCUUUUAUUAGCAUUCAGGUUCGAUUUCUACCUCCUUACUUUAUCAGUUAUAGUUAUAGCUUUGAUUAGUUUUUGUGUAUUUAAAUUAGUUUAUUUUUACUCGUGAUGGAGAUUAACAAUUUUUGCUAUCUAAUUUGUGAAAUAUGAUCGUUGAUUUGUUUUUAGACUGUUUUUCAUUAUAGAAUAUGUUUUUUUUAGUCUGAUAGUUUAUAUCCUGGUAUUUUUGUUUUUUUUUUUUUUGCAUUUUAUUUUUGAAGUCUUUUAGAUUCUGAUUUGGGGCUUUCAUUCUGUGUCCUUUUACCUAACUGUAGGUGAUGUUGAGAUGGUUCCAGUUAUGGUCAACACAAUCAAAAUGGUUUUCUUUUUUUUUUUUUUGCUUAAUCUUUUAUAAAAUGGACAAAUUGUUAUUGUUUGUUUGUUGACACUUGGUCCGUGAUGUUAAGCCUUGGCUUACGUGAGAUCGAUGGGUAAGAAGACAUCACACUUUAUCAUGUUUAGUACAUGUAUGGGUAAAUGGGAUAAUUCGGUUUAAUUUAUCACUAACAGGUGCGUCAAAUGAGUUGAUUUUAUUUAAUAUAGCUCAAACUGAAACGGGUCAAACAGGCGGAAGUCACCUAAAAUGCAUAUAACCUCCGGAUUUGUUUUAUUUCAAAAUAAAUUACUAUAUUGAUAUUUACUCUUUGAUCAUAUCUAAUACUGAACUUUUUUUUAUGAAAAACAAGUUUCUGGGCAGUGGAACCCAUUUUGACACGCAUAGGUAAAAAGUGAUCAAUUUUUUAUAUAUCCCAGAUGAUUUUUUGAUAUUUCACUAUGAUAUGAUUGGUUUAAUUUGCCAUUUGGUUAGAAUAUUGUAACAAUUUUGUAUAGGUUGUUGCUUGCAGUUGUGAUUUUUGUGACCAAGGAGGCCGUUAAAUUCUCAACACGAGGUGAUUUCGGAAGGGCGGUUUUCUCCUUACACAUUUUGGUGCGCAGAUAACUCAUGUAUUUGUGUAAAGUAUUUUAUUUUUAUUAGCAUGAUGUUGUGAUGACCUAACUGUGCUUGCAUAUUACAAAGUUACUUAUACUAGAUAAAGAUGGAAUUGUUACAAAUAAAACAACCAAUGUAAUCUACAAGGAAAUUCUUACUGAAAAAUAUGUUUAGAUUUUC